AAUGAUUAGAGGUUCGGGGGUUGAAAUGACCUUCACCUAUUCUCAAACUUUAAAUCGGUAAGAUGGGCCCGUUACUUCAGUGAACAGGCUCUUGAAUGCAGCGCUCUUAGUGGGCCAUUUUUGGUAAGCAGAACUGGCAACGAGGGGUCAACCUAAGGAGAGGUUGAGGCGACAAAUUGACUGCUCAUAGAUGGAAAGGUGUUGGUUCAUUUAGACAGUAGGACGGUGGCCAUGGAAGUCGGAAUCCGCUAAGGAGUGUGUAACAACUCACCUGCCGAAUGAACUAGCCCGGAAAAUGGAUGGCGCUGAAGCGAGCGACUUAUACUCAACCACUAAGGCAAGUGCGAAGCCUUAGUGAGUAGGAGGGCGUGGAGGUUGUGGCGCAUCUUGCGGCGUGAGCCGGAGUGAAACAGCCUCUAGUGCAGAUCUUGGUGGUAGUAGCAAAUAUUCAAAUGCGAACUUUGAAGGCCGAAGUGGGGAAAGGUUCCAUGUGAACAGCAAUUGGACAUGGGUGAGUCGAUCCUAAGACAUAGGUUAGUACCGUUCGGAAGUGGGUGGUUCUCGGAUCGCCCCGCCUAUCGAAAGGGAAUCGGGUUAAUAUUCCCGAACCAGGACGUGGAUACCGAGUGGUGACACAAGCGAAAUCCAGGACAGCGGUGUGUGC
Molecule: ribosomal RNA, 664 nt
Filed under: Karlodinium veneficum
Lineage: Eukaryota; Dinophyceae; Gymnodiniales; Kareniaceae
Description: partial Eukaryotic large subunit ribosomal RNA
Rfam family: Eukaryotic large subunit ribosomal RNA
Source: RNAcentral